This 506-nucleotide ribosomal RNA is filed under the name uncultured bacterium. RNAcentral describes it as "partial 16S ribosomal RNA". It matches the Rfam family "Bacterial small subunit ribosomal RNA", at positions 29 to 523 of the family's 1533-position model. The record is from RNAcentral.
AGUGAACGCUGGCGGUAGGCCUAACACAUGCAAGCCGAACGGCAGCACAGGAGAGCUUGCUCUCUGGGUGGCGAGUGGCGGACGGGUGAGGAAUACAUCGGAAUCUACUUUUUCGUGGGGGAUAACGUAGGGAAACUUACGCUAAUACCGCAUACGACCUACGGGUGAAAGCAGGGGACCUUCGGGCCUUGCGCGAUUGAAUUAGCCGAUGUCGGAUUAGCUAGUUGGCGGGGUAAAGGCGCACCAAGGCGACGAGCCGUAGCGGGUCUGAGAGGAUGAGCAGCCACACUGGAACUGAGACACGGUCCAGACUCCUACGGGAGGCAGCAGGGGGGAAUAUUGGACAAUGGGCGCAAGCCUGAUCCAGCCAUACCGCGUGGGUGAAGAAGGCCUUCGGGUUGUAGAGCCCUUUUGUUGGGAAAGAAAUCCAGCUGGCUAAUACCCGGUUGGGAUGACGGUACCCAAAGAAUAAGCACCGGCUAACUUCGUGCCAGCCGCCGCAGUAA